RNAcentral lists this ribosomal RNA (119 nucleotides) under uncultured Candidatus Liberibacter sp. RNAcentral's name for it is "partial 16S ribosomal RNA". It matches the Rfam family "Bacterial small subunit ribosomal RNA", at positions 1384 to 1502 of the family's 1533-position model. The record is from RNAcentral. Lineage: Bacteria; Pseudomonadati; Pseudomonadota; Alphaproteobacteria; Hyphomicrobiales; Rhizobiaceae.
UACACACCGCCCGUCACACCAUGGGAGUUGGUUUUGCCUGAAGACGGUGUGCUAACCGCAAGGAGGCAGCCGGCCACGGUAGGGUCAGCGAAAGGGGUGAAGUCGUAACAAGGUAACCA